CUAAGGAGCACUUCUGCAUCGCACCCUGAAGAGUCGGGGAUGGUAAACGUUGAUGCCAGAGACCGUUUAGUCCCCGUCUGUGGGACUGCGGACGCUCAUGGGUGGAACGCUGACAGGUUUCAUCGCAUUCGGUCAAUCCUGUGUGGUUGGUCGUGGUGGAUAUAUCUACACACUGUUGGGUCCUGAGAGAACACGCGAGUGUUUCUUUCUAGGCAAAUAGACGAUCCGGUCGGGUUCCCGGUCAUACCGAUCUCAGUCUUUGGGCUGGGGUGCUGGUGUCGGAAUUGGAUUCGUUCGGGUGUGUUGUUUGAGAACUGCACAGUGGACGCGAGCAUCUUUGUUUGUAAGUGUUUAAGAGCGUAC
Molecule: unclassified non-coding RNA, 363 nt
Filed under: Nocardia vinacea
Lineage: Bacteria; Bacillati; Actinomycetota; Actinomycetes; Mycobacteriales; Nocardiaceae
Description: 16S-23S ribosomal RNA intergenic spacer
Source: RNAcentral